RNAcentral lists this long non-coding RNA (208 nucleotides) under Prunus dulcis (almond). RNAcentral describes it as "sRNA ncRNA". The record is from RNAcentral. Lineage: Eukaryota; Viridiplantae; Streptophyta; Magnoliopsida; Rosales; Rosaceae.
GGUCAAAAGUGCCCAUUUGUGGAGAGUAGGUGGCGGAGUCUAUGAAAGAGAAAGUAAGAAAAGAGGUACGAACUUGAGACCUAACUUGUCUUAUAAUUGUCAUAUCACUAGUUGUUGCCCACUUUACCAGAUGCAUUGUGAACUUAUGAAUCCAUUCUUUAUUUGCUUCUCUUCUUUCCUCUUUAUUGGUUUAUGUGGUCCAUUGUAG